UGGGGAAUCUUGCACAAUGGGGGCAACCCUGAUGCAGCGACGCCGCGUGAGCGAUGAAGCCCUUCGGGGCGUAAAGCUCUUUCGACCGGAACGAUAAUGACGGUACCGGGAGAAGAAGCUGCGGCUAACUACGUGCCAGCAGCCGCGGUAAUACGUAGGCAGCAAGCGUUGUUCGGAGUUACUGGGCGUAAAGAGUGCGUAGGCGGUUUUCUAAGUUCGGUGUGAAAUCUCCCGGCUUAACUGGGAGGGUGCGCCGAAGACUGGGAAGCUGGAGUGUGGGAAAGGCAGGCGGAAUUCCUGGUGUAGCGGUGAAAUGCGUAGAUAUCAGGAGGAACACCGGCGGUGUAGACGGCUUGCUAAGCCAUAACUGACGCUGAGGCACGAAAGCGUGGGUAGCAAACA
This 402-nucleotide ribosomal RNA is filed under the name uncultured bacterium. RNAcentral describes it as "bacterial SSU rRNA". It matches the Rfam family "Bacterial small subunit ribosomal RNA", at positions 355 to 774 of the family's 1533-position model. The record is from RNAcentral.